Molecule: ribosomal RNA, 431 nt
Filed under: bacterium DYS1B
Lineage: Bacteria
Description: bacterial SSU rRNA
Rfam family: Bacterial small subunit ribosomal RNA
Source: RNAcentral
CGAGGAGGAAGCUCUUUUGGUUUAUACCCAAGAUGAGUGGACGUUACUCGCAGAAUAAGCACCGGCUAACUCGGUGCCAGCAGCCGCGGUAAUACGAAGGGUGCGAGCGUUAAUCGGGAUUUUCUGGGCGUAAAGCGUGCGUAGGCGUCUUUUUGAUUCGGAUGUGAGAUCCCCGAGCUUAAUUUGGGAAUUGCAUUGGAAACUGUGGAAGCUAGAGUGUUGGGAGAGGCUGGUAAAAUUCCAGGUGUAGCGGUGAAAUGGGUAGAGAUCUGGAGGAAUCCCGAUGGGGAAGGCAUGCCUUCUGUCCUAAUACUGACGCUGAGGUAGGAAAGCAUGGGGAGCACACCAGGAUUAGAUACCCUGGUAGUCCAUCCCGUAACCGAUGUUUAUUAGCCGGUGGGGUUCUUGAGCCUUCAGUGGCCAGCUAACGC